This 474-nucleotide ribosomal RNA is filed under the name Triticum aestivum (bread wheat). Its description in RNAcentral is "partial small subunit ribosomal RNA". Lineage: Eukaryota; Viridiplantae; Streptophyta; Magnoliopsida; Poales; Poaceae. The record is from RNAcentral.
AUGUCAUUUGAGAAAUCUCGGUCCAUUUUUCUUGUUAAUGAAGACUUUUACCAAUAUUAUACUUUCCCGUUCCUCGAAACUAUCAACCUGGCCCAAAGAAUGAUCUUUUUCUUUAGGAUUCAUGGUUAUUUUUUCUUGUUAUUAUGCAUUACUAUUGAUUCAUGUGCAUGUGCUAAAGGAAAGAAAAUGUCCUACUGGAUGCGGAUGCGGAUGCCAACUAACCAGUUUUCACUUUCCGACGUGGGCGCAGGGGUGAUCGAGGUGGACUACCGCGGCCUAGUGGGCGUCGUGCUCUUCAACCACCUGGAGGCGGACUUCAUCGUGAAGCCCGACGAUCGCGCCACACAGAUGAUCAUCCAGGUCAUUGCGACGCCGGAGGUUGCCGAGGUGGAGGACCUCUACGCCACCGUUCGCCGGGAGGGACUGCUCGGAUCCACCGACGUUUCAACUCCGAAACUUGGUAGAUGCAUCUAG